RNAcentral lists this long non-coding RNA (515 nucleotides) under Lathyrus oleraceus (garden pea). RNAcentral's name for it is "Pisum sativum (pea) long non-coding RNA (PSAT_LNC040526)". The record is from RNAcentral. Lineage: Eukaryota; Viridiplantae; Streptophyta; Magnoliopsida; Fabales; Fabaceae.
GAGAAGUGAAGAAGCUUCGUGGUAAGGAGAUUGCCUUGGUGAAAGUGAUAUGGGGCGGAGUCGCCAAUGGCAAUAUUACUUGGGAACUCGAGGGUAAGAUGAAGGAAUCGUAUCCGGAGUUAUUCGUUUGAGGUAUUUUCGAGGCCGAAAAUCUUUUAAGUGAGGGAGAGUUGUAACAACCCGACUUUUUAGUAUUUAAUUCUUAUAUUAUUAUUUCUAUAUUUUAUUUUAUUUAUUUGGAGUGUUAAUUAAUUAAUUGGUGGUUAGGUAGUAAUAAUUGAUUAUAUUAAUUAAUUUGGUGUGUUCAUUAAUUAUUUAGUUGAUAUGAGAUAUAAUGAAUAAUGGAAUUAAUUAACUUGGUGUGUAUAUUGAGUUGGUUUGAUUUAUUUGAAUUAAAUAGAGAUAUUUAAAUAUUAGAUCUUAUUGGGCCUAAUAAUUAAACUAGAGGUAUCACUCUUUAAGCCCAAAUAGAAUACUAGUAUAUAAGAGGUGAGGAGAGUGAGAAUUAGGAUUCA